UAGGGAAUCUUCCACAACGGGCGAAAGCCUGAUGGAGCAACGCCGCGUGUGUGAUGAAGGCUUUCGGGUCGUAAAGCACUGUUGUAUGGGAAGAACAGCUAGAAUAGGAAAUGAUUUUAGUUUGACGGUACCAUACCAGAAAGGGACGGCUAAAUACGUGCCAA
This 164-nucleotide ribosomal RNA is filed under the name uncultured bacterium. RNAcentral describes it as "partial 16S ribosomal RNA". It matches the Rfam family "Bacterial small subunit ribosomal RNA", at positions 355 to 511 of the family's 1533-position model. The record is from RNAcentral.